AAUUCUCAACCAUCACCAUCUGUGGAUGGCUUGGAGUUGGGAGUUGCUGGCGGGAAACGUCAGCUCUCCUUAAAUGUAUUAGCGAUCGAGUUGGCUGGUCUUUGACGCACACGGCCUUGGACGUGAUAAUGAUCGUCGUGGCUGGAGCGUCUUUUCCUAGACUAUGUACAUGGAUGGCUUCCAAUCUACCGAUCGAGCUCAGCUACUAGUCAGUCUUUGACGAGGCCGACGAACACGAGCGAGAGAGGACUUUGA
RNAcentral lists this unclassified non-coding RNA (255 nucleotides) under uncultured Phylloporus. RNAcentral describes it as "sequence contains ITS2". The record is from RNAcentral. Lineage: Eukaryota; Fungi; Basidiomycota; Agaricomycetes; Boletales; Boletaceae.